RNAcentral lists this unclassified non-coding RNA (1726 nucleotides) under Hevea brasiliensis (rubber tree). The record is from RNAcentral. Lineage: Eukaryota; Viridiplantae; Streptophyta; Magnoliopsida; Malpighiales; Euphorbiaceae.
GAUUCUGAAUUGGAGUAAUGUUUGAGAUGGAAAAUUCUGGGGGCCCACCCUAAUUCUAUGACACAGAUCCUAAAACUGUGGCAAAUGCUUUUUCAUCUCAAACAUUACUCCAAUUCAGAAUCCACAAGUUAUUUCUCAAAUGAAUGCCUAAAACAGAACAGACUUUAAUCCUUCCGAGUGUUGAGCACUACUGAUAUCAAAAAUAUGUUAACAAAAAAUCAAGGUGUUAGAUCUCACGCAGAAUUAGUAUUCUGCUUUGCCCCACUUGAGCGCCCACUUCUCCCUCUCCAUUCCUGGUAACCUUCACCUCUCCCAGUUGAACUCCUCCCUCGACCAGAAAAUUCACCCCAGUUUCCAAACUCAUUCCUGACAAAACCCCGGCCUCCACCAAAAUUUCCACGGCCCCUGAAGCUUUCGCUACGAAAUCCUGCCCUUCCAGAAGAAAACCUACCUCUUCCACUACCAACUCGAGUGGAGGUUCUCUUUAUCUCAAUAACUGCUUGACGCCCUCCGAUGGUCAUGGGUGAUGCCUUUAUAGCAUUGUUCAUUGAGCUCAAAGAAUGAAAUUCAACAAAACCAAAACAGUAUCCCUGUUGCUUAUUAUAUCUAACUUGGACACCAUCUUGCUUGAUCGGUCCAAAUUUCUUAAAUUCUACCUGAAGCUGAGCAGGCGUCAUGUUGUAGGGCAAAUUACGGAUAUAAAUGGAGUGGCCUUCAGCUUCAGCUUCCUCUUGCGCAUUGCUACUUUCAGGGGUUUCAGUGCUACUUGGUACUGAAGCUUCAGGCUCUGUGGCAGGUGCUACUGACACAGAGUGAUUCUCACGUUUCUUAGAACUCACUUUUACAGCAAAAGUGGGUACAUAAACUUUUGUUGGACCUGAACUUCCUCUUGGCACUUUAACAAUUGAUGCAUAAGAUUUCUUUGGAGUGUCCUCUUGAGUAGCAGAAGUUGAUUCAACAACUACAGAAACAUCAUUCCCAUUAGAAUGAGAUUGCGAUUCCACAACCACCUCCUUCUCAUAAAUUAACUGUUUCUCAGAGUCCACAGGAUCAUGAACUUCCUCAGCAACCUUUUUAUCUUGUUCCACAAUUGAUGUUGCUGGGUCUGGUGCAGGAGGAUCAGGAACAUGAGAAGGCUCUGAAUCUGGGAUUGAGGGGACUGUUGAGGCGUUAUCAAUACCAUUAUCUGGGUGAUUCUCCAAUGGUUCAUUAUCCUCCACAUACCUGAAAACAUCAUUCAAAACAAAAUACCCAUUGUCUUGUGGUGCAAGAAAAAAUGACUGAGCAAAUUUCCUUUUCAAGUUGUCCUUGCCCAUCAAGCAUCCAGUUACUAACACAGUAACCCCUUCUUUAUAGGAUUUUUGAGCAUCUGCUGUUUUUAUUUCCGCUUUAUAGUCCUUGAAAUUCAGUGAAAGUAUCUUCUCAUUGAUACCUUGCAUGGUUCCCACUGAUGUCAUCACACCAUUGGCAUCUGGCCGGCUGAGCACACUUGAAUCCUGAUAAAAUCUAUAAACCAAUUCUGGUGAGGUGUGAAGAAUAUGGUAAUAUUGCUCAACAAAAGCAUUUCCAACCACUUGGGCACUAGGGGUAGUUGGGUUGCUUGCUGAUUGUAAAGCCAUUCUGAUAUGAACUGUUAAAAGCUAGGAAGGAGAUUUGCGAGGAAGAGAUAGUAUAGUGCCUUGAAGAGUAGAGAGAGAGGCAAGGAAAGAGAAGAGAAGAAUAGUCA